UAUCGAAACGAAGCAGCUGCGUCAAGCAGCUGCUGUAAAGGGGGAUGAGGGGCGGCGGACGCGUAGGCUGGAGGCGUGGGAUGGAUGAGUGGAUUGUUAGAGGGUAUGGAAGCGUAUUAGGGCCUGGAUUAGGUUUUAAAAAGGAAGAAAAACGAAGAAGAGUGAUUAGCGAAAAACCCAGAAAACAGAGGAGGAAAUUUUUGAGAAUUCGAGUUUUGGUUGCUUAAAAUUGGACAUCAAUCGAGGGUAAAGGAAGAGGGGUUGUUGCUGAGGAAUCAUUGAGGAAGGGGAUACGGCCACGAGCUGAAUCGGACGGUGAUUCGAAGAAAACGCAAGGAAGAAGAAGGAGCGCGUGCACUACACGCAGGCGCGUGAGGGGCCGCGACUGGGUGUGCGACUGGGCGUGCUCCUGGCGCGUGGGACAGACACACCGAGGAUGUGAGGGCGCGUGAGGGCGCGUGAAGCAUCAUUUUGGGUUCCCGGUCUAAUCGGAAGGAAUUGUGUUGAAAUACCCUAUUAAAUGUACAAUCAAGAGAGAAAGGGAUUCGAAACCAGGUAAGUAGCGUAUCGACCUUUGAACUAGUUCUUAACUUGUUUUACAACAUGUGAGUAUGUUGUUUACCUGAUUAAGAGCUUAAUAUGUUAUGAUGAGCUUUGAUGAUAUUGAGUGUUUAUUGUAUAUUGUGACUGCUUGCCUGUGAUGUAAGCAUGAUAUAAAUGAUUGUCAGAAUGUUCUAUGUGUUGAACAUGAUACAUGUAUGAAAGCAUGCAGUAACUGUGAGUAUGUUAUGCAUGUUAAUGGAAAGGUUAUGACUCUAGAUAUGCUUAUUGGUUGUUGAGCUAUGGCUUAUUUAUAUGAGUAUGAUAGUCUACUAAUUCCCGCGGAGUUCCUGGCCAACGCGCUGUGUGCUAAGUCAGGGAGCAUGAGUACUCCUGACCGUUGGUAUAUGAGAUAAACAGGCCGCCAGAGCAAUUAGUAGACGGGCCGUAUUUGACCGAGAGCGAGUCUUACAUACGAGUCCGAAAAUUCUAGAUAAGCAUAUCGAAGGAGAGUCAGUAACCUAGCUGGAGGUAGCUGAGAUACCUCAUUAACGAACAGAUGACCCUAACAAGAGAACUAGGAGUCAGUGAUGAAUAAAG
This is a non-coding RNA of Cucurbita pepo subsp. pepo (vegetable marrow), 1140 nucleotides long. Lineage: Eukaryota; Viridiplantae; Streptophyta; Magnoliopsida; Cucurbitales; Cucurbitaceae. The record is from RefSeq and is a predicted model, not a curated record.